GGGUGAGUAACACGUGGGUAACCUGCCCCGAUGAUUGGGACAACCCGAGGAAACUCGGGCUAAUACCAAAUGUGCCCUCCGUCCGUAAGGACGGUAUGUAAAGAUAGCUUCGGCUUUCGCAUCGGGAGGGGCCCGCGGCCCAUUAGCUUGUUGGUGAGGUAACGGCUCACCAAGGCUGCGAUGGGUAGCUGGUCUGAGAGGACGAUCAGCCACACUGGGACUGAGACACGGCCCAG
Molecule: ribosomal RNA, 236 nt
Filed under: uncultured bacterium
Lineage: Bacteria
Description: partial 16S ribosomal RNA
Rfam family: Bacterial small subunit ribosomal RNA
Source: RNAcentral